Molecule: non-coding RNA, 29 nt
Filed under: Homo sapiens (human)
Lineage: Eukaryota; Metazoa; Chordata; Mammalia; Primates; Hominidae
Source: RNAcentral
UUGGUUGUGUGACAUGUGGUCAGGCGUUG